AUAAUUGCGAAAAAAUUAUGCCAGAGUGACUUCGGUAAGACCAUGUAUGGGGGCUGACACCUGCCCAGUGCCGAAAGGUCAAGGAAGUUGGUGAACUGAUGACAGGAAAGCCGGCGACCGAAGCCCCGGUGAACGGCGAUCGUAACUAUAACGGUCCUAAGGUAGCGAAAUUCCUUGUCGGGUAAGUUCUGUGGAUUGGUCAGA
Molecule: non-coding RNA, 204 nt
Filed under: Oryza brachyantha (malo sina)
Lineage: Eukaryota; Viridiplantae; Streptophyta; Magnoliopsida; Poales; Poaceae
Description: Bacterial large subunit ribosomal RNA
Rfam family: Bacterial large subunit ribosomal RNA
Source: Rfam by way of RNAcentral